RNAcentral lists this ribosomal RNA (465 nucleotides) under uncultured bacterium. RNAcentral describes it as "partial 16S ribosomal RNA". It matches the Rfam family "Bacterial small subunit ribosomal RNA", at positions 28 to 507 of the family's 1533-position model. The record is from RNAcentral.
GACGAACGCUGGCGGCGUGCUUAACACAUGCAAGUCGAACGGAAAGGCCCCUUUGGGGGUCCUCGGGUGGCGAACGGGUGCGUAACACGUGAGUAACCUGCACUUGACUUCGGGAUAACUUCAGCAUACUGAGGCCAAUACCGGUUAGGAAUCCUUGCUGCAAGGGGGGGGUUGGAAAGCUUCGGCGGUUUUUGCUGGACUCGCGGCAUAUCAGCUUGUUGGUGCGGUAGUGGCUUACCAAGGCUGUGACGGGUAGCCGGCCUGAGGGGCCGACCGGCCACAUUGGGACCGAGGGACGGCCGAGACACCUACGGGAGGCAGCAGUGGGGAAUAUUGCACAAUAGGCGGAAGCCGGAUGAAGCAGGGCCGCGUGCGGGAUGACGGCCUUCGGGUUGUAAACCGCUUUCAGCAGGGGCGAUGCUUGUGGUGACGGUACCUGCAGAAGAAGCACCGGCUAACUACGUG